Molecule: long non-coding RNA, 1228 nt
Organism: Amborella trichopoda
Lineage: Eukaryota; Viridiplantae; Streptophyta; Magnoliopsida; Amborellales; Amborellaceae
Source: RefSeq, a predicted model, not a curated record
UUCGCGAAAGAACCUACACAUGGGUUUAAUGAGUGAAUCAUCUGAGGCCCGGCCCCCGGCCCACAAUGGCUUGCCCAAAAUUAGGGUUUCGAUUGAAACCCUAAAAGCCCAAACAAUUAUUUUGCGCGCCUCUUUACCCCCAACCAAAGAAACCCUAAUCGCAUUCCUCGACCUUUUUAAACCCACAAUACAACCCUAGUUCCAUGUUUCUCACUGCUGUAACCAGUUGUUUUGAGACCAGUUUCUCUCUCUAGAAGUUGGAUACCUUUUCUUCUCAUCAAAGAACAAAGGCAAUAUGCAUAGAUUUUCAAUUCGUUUGACAAAAACAACUUUGAUUGCCUGUCCCAAGCUCCGGAAUGAAAUGGAGAAGAAUUACGUUAGGCCGAUUCUCUAUUUUGAAUCUUGAUACAACUUUACGGGCUUGAGCUAGGGUUAUGUGAUGAAAUUUGAAUUGUGUAGGCAAUUUCAAAUAGUUGGGAUAAAACUUGGAUGAUGAUGAUGAUGGUCUUGAGGUAGUCAAUGGAAACGACAACAUCAUGGCCAACUCUAUUUUCUUGCCUUGUCUGAACCUUGGCCAUAGGGUGUGGCAUCUAUGUUAUCUGAAAUUCGUUCUUGGCGAUGAAUGAAGAGAUCAGAAGGCAUGAAUUUGUUCAUAUGCGAGGAGUCUCAAAUGGCCGAAGGAGUCUUAAACAGAGUAUACUGAAAGAGUCUCACACUGAGUAUGGGAUGGUGGGUUCAGGUUUGGAAUGGAGUAUGCCGAAGGAGUCUCAUGGUGGGUUCAGGCUUGGAGGGUUUGAUGAGCUGACGGACUAUAGGACCUUGAAGUGUUCAAUGAAAAUGGGUUCAAUUUUUGGAGGUCCAAUGACUUGUGCAACGAGCUCAAGUGGGCUCGAUGAUGGGAUUUUCAUUCUUCACCAAAACCAAAGAUCACAUAGCAUGGGUGGCACACCUUACAGCAAGGGGGCUGUGAUUUAAAGGGAAAGUAGAAGGGUGAUGUUUUGAAGUUUAAGUGAUUCAUCUUUUGAGGUUUAAAUAUUUGUUGCAAAUAAGAUUUUCAAGAUGUUUUUUAAUGAGGGCACCGCAUAUGAAAUGAUGUCAUGCAUUAAAACCUUAUUCCCUAACUACUUUUUUUUUUUUUUUUGGUAGUUCAAAGGUAGGAAAAAUGUUAGUUGUGAGCAUCGUUUGAAAAUUUUCAUAUUCAAAUUAGAAUUGAAUAUUGUCCUGCGUA